AUUUUCUCAGUCUUUCAGUUUUCUGUAGAUGGAUGUGGGGGCAUUGGAGGAAAAAAUAUAUAAAGUAGCAUUAUUUAUUCAUACUAACUGAAUAAGAAUUGAAGUUUACAACUAGAUUAACUAAAAGCCACCUAAAUGAGCAUGAAGUCAUGGUUGAAGUAGCUGUGCAGCCUGCUGGGGAAAAAAUAGAAACCAUCGAAGAAUUUGUAACGGUUUUAAUGGGAAUAAUGGGAAUUGUAUUGGAUUUAAUGGAAACUGUAAUGGUCCCUGUAGGUCUCUGCUGACUUUGUUACCUUUUGUUGCUGGCAUGUUAGGUCUAGUGGAUACCAUUAAGGUAUCCAUACAUACAAGUUCUUUCACAUAGAUUGUGAAACAAUCAUAAGUUAGGCCUAGGUCAAAAGUUUAAUGAUAAUUAUUGAUACAUGUUCUUUCCUAUAGCUGUCUGGUGCAAUUCCACACGCACACACACAAACAUAGACACACAGACACCGACAGCGUCAUUUUUAAAAGUAAGGAAGGUGACUGGAUGCCGCCCUUAAGCGAUUACUUGGGUGGUCUUACCAGCGAACUAGAUGAUGGCGAUCAAAUCGUAGGAUUCCUUUAAAAUCUUAAACUUAAAAACAAUUAAUACUGACAAGCCACUAUCUGUCUUCAAACCAAGACUUGAGUGCAAACACCAUCAACCCUGGCAUCAAGAAAAAUAAGCAUUGACAAAAAGCCUCAAAUGCACAUGCGUUCAGCACAGAGAUUCUUGAUUUACUGAGUUUAACACGCUGUUGAUUAUUUCCAUUUUGCAAUAGUUCCACUUUCACUCUUCCCCCGGAUGGAUCUGCAUGGAGCCAUUCAGGACAAGGAGAGAGCAUUUGCACCACUGGGACACCUGAACUCUCAUCCCCUGCCAGAACACCCUGAUAUAAGAAGAUAUGGCCAGACAUGCCAUUUGGUCUCUGUAGUUUCCUCACUACUUAGCUAGUUGCAUCAAAACUCACAGUUGGGGUGGCCAAAUUAGGAAGAUGGCUUGGCUCAGGAUCCCCAAAAAGCAUCAGCUGUGUUGUCUCUGAUGCCCUCCAUACAUGGGGUUCCAUUCUACCCUCACACAGUUCUUUUGCUAUCUGCACAUGCAAGUUACCAAGCAUUGCAUGCUUGGAACAGCCAGUGUGCAAGAAGUCAUCAGUGUUUUUAAUUAAACAAUUGAGCACCAUUGGGCUGUUCAUUUCAGGCUCUCUGUCGUAUUUUAUGGGAAUGUGGCCAUGACAUUCCUUACAGUUGCCUCUGAUUUCUAUGUAUUUCUCUGUGGCUGAUGGAUAGACCUUGGCUCUUUUAAAUUCAAAUGUGCAGGGGCUUUUCACUUCUUGCCAAAUGUGAUGAUUUAUCACAUGCGUCCAGAUGCCAGGCUUCAAAAUAGUGUAUUCCCUUUUUUGUGUUUUAGAGAACUUGUUUUUGUAUUGAACUGUUUCAGGCAUGAAUUCAAUCCAUUUCUGAAAUGGAACUUGAAGAUCGAAAGUCCAGUAAUCUUUUGGUCUGGGGGAAAGGGACCCUGGCUCAAAAUCAGUAUCAUCACUUGUUUCACCAUCACUUUGAUAAAUAAACCCUAAAGCAGUCCAGAUGUUGUGUCUGUUCAACUUAACAAAAGUAUAUAGAGCCUUUGCAGUGAUCUUUUCUAGCUGCUCACUAAGCUCUGUCCAGAUGCUCUGAUUAGGAGUAGCUACGUUGCCAUUUUGGACUAUGGCCUCUUUUGAUGAACAGAGGACUGUGAAAAGCGAAUCCCUUUCAACUGCUGGUUUCUUGGGCAUCUGGCAUAAGCAAAGCAUAAUUAUCCACUGAAAUAAUCCUGAUGCAAAAAAAUGUCAUAUACAGUAUAAACCUGUUUUCAUGUAUUACUGUGU
Molecule: long non-coding RNA, 1886 nt
Organism: Ictalurus punctatus (channel catfish)
Lineage: Eukaryota; Metazoa; Chordata; Actinopteri; Siluriformes; Ictaluridae
Source: Ensembl